RNAcentral lists this ribosomal RNA (253 nucleotides) under uncultured bacterium. Its description in RNAcentral is "partial 16S ribosomal RNA". It matches the Rfam family "Bacterial small subunit ribosomal RNA", at positions 524 to 776 of the family's 1533-position model. The record is from RNAcentral.
UACGGAGGGUGCAAGCGUUAUCCGGAUUCACUGGGUUUAAAGCGCGUGUAGGCGGUUUCGUAAGUCGGAUGUGAAAGCCCUCGGCUCAACCGGGGAAGUGCACCCGAAACUACGGAACUAGAGUCUCGGAGAGGAUCGUGGAAUUCUCGGUGUAGAGGUGAAAUUCGUAGAUAUCGAGAGAAACACCGGUAGCGAAGGCGGCGAUCUGGACAAUGACUGACGCUGAGACGCGAAAGCGUGGGGAGCAAACAGG